AUGGCAAUUGUCCAUACAUACGGGAAGCCAGACAUCUUCUUGGCCAUGACUUGCAAUCCUAAAUGGGAAGAGAUAACGAAUGAGUUGUUGCCUGGUCAGACGGCGCAAGACCGACCUAAUCUUGUGGAUCGCGUCGGCAAACUAGAGGCUAUGAAGGACAUGUUGUUCAAGAAGCACAUCCUGGGUGUUGUUGUCGCAUAUGUGUAUGUUGUCGAGUUUCAAAAAAGAGGCCUC
RNAcentral lists this ribosomal RNA (234 nucleotides) under Triticum aestivum (bread wheat). RNAcentral describes it as "partial small subunit ribosomal RNA". The record is from RNAcentral. Lineage: Eukaryota; Viridiplantae; Streptophyta; Magnoliopsida; Poales; Poaceae.